GAUGAACGCUGGCGGCGUGCCUAAUACAUGCAAGUCGAGCGAACAGACGAGGAGCUUGCUCCUCUGACGUUAGCGGCGGACGGGUGAGUAACACGUGGAUAACCUACCUAUAAGACUGGGAUAACUUCGGGAAACCGGCGCUAAUACCGGAUAUUAUAUUGAACCGCAUGGUUCAAUAGUGAAAGACGGUUUUGCUGUCACUUAUAGAUGGAUCCGCGCCGCAUUAGCUAGUUGGUAAGGUAACGGCUUACCAAGGCAACGAUGCGUAGCCGACCUGAGAGGGUGAUAGGCCACAUUGGAGCGGGGACACGGACCAGACUCCUACGGGAGGCAGCAGUAUGGAAGCUGCCGCAAUGGGCGAAAGCCUGACGGAGCAGCGCCGCGUGAGUGAUGAAGGUCUUCGGAUCGUAAAACUCUGUUAUUAGGGAAGAACAAAUGUGUAAGUAACUAUGCACGUCUUGACGGUACCUAAUCAGAAAGCCACGGCUAACUACGUG
This 497-nucleotide ribosomal RNA is filed under the name uncultured bacterium. RNAcentral's name for it is "partial 16S ribosomal RNA". It matches the Rfam family "Bacterial small subunit ribosomal RNA", at positions 28 to 507 of the family's 1533-position model. The record is from RNAcentral.